AAUAUUGGACAAUGGGGGCAACCCUGAUCCAGCCAUGCCGCGUGUGUGAAGAAGGUCUUCGGAUUGUAAAGCACUUUAAGUAGGGACGAAGGGCUUUAGGCUAAUACCCUGAAGCUUUCACGUUACCAACAGACUAAGCAACGGCUAACCCUGUGCCAGCAGCCGGGGUAAUACAGAGGGUGCAAGCGUUAAGCGGAAUUUCUGGGCGUAAAGCGCGCGUAGGUGGUUCAGUAAGAUGGGUGUGAAAUCCCCGGGCUUAACCUGGGAACUGCUUUCAUAACUGCUGAGCUAGAGUACGGUAGAGGGUAGUGGAAUUUCCUGUGUAGCGGUGGAAUGCGUAGAUAUAGGAAGGAACACCAGUGGCGAAGGCGACUACCUGGACUGAUACUGACACUGAGGUGCGAAAGCGUGGGGAGCAAAC
RNAcentral lists this ribosomal RNA (421 nucleotides) under uncultured bacterium. RNAcentral describes it as "partial 16S ribosomal RNA". It matches the Rfam family "Bacterial small subunit ribosomal RNA", at positions 360 to 773 of the family's 1533-position model. The record is from RNAcentral.